Molecule: ribosomal RNA, 648 nt
Filed under: uncultured fungus
Lineage: Eukaryota; Fungi
Description: eukaryotic LSU rRNA
Rfam family: 5.8S ribosomal RNA (bases 221-374)
Source: RNAcentral
CUUGGUCAUUUAGAGGAAGUAAAAGUCGUAGCAAGGUUUCCGUAAGUGAACCUGUGGAAGGAUCAUUAGCGAGUAUGGCCCUCACGGGUCUAAUCCAUCAUAAACACCUUUGUGAACCAGUCAGGGGGACUCGGCCGUGAAAGCCCAGGCGAUUAGCGGAAGGGCCCUCCUUUGCAAACCCGUCUAGAAGUCUUGAAAGUACUUUUGUAUAACCUAGUAAAACUUAUAGCAACGGAUCUCUUGGCUCUCGUAUCGAUGAAGAACGCAGCGAAAUGUGAUAAGUAAUGUGAAUUGCAGAAUUCAGUGAAUCAUCGAAUCUUUGAACGCAUCUUGCGCUCUUUGGUAUUCCGAAGAGCAUGUCUGUCUGAGUGUCACGAAACUCUCAACCUCCUUUCCUUUGUGAUGGGCUGGUUGGAUCAUGGGCGCUUGCCGGCCAGGUCGGCUCGCCUGAAAUGCAUUUGCGAUGUUGUGUCCUUGUGAGUUGGCCCGACUAGGCGUGAUGGUAACAACGUUCGUCUAGGAUCCCGCUUCGGGCGAGGAGCCGCUCCUGUUGGGCGUUUGCCUUCGCAUACACACUCAUAUCUUUGGUUUAGACCUCAGAUCAGGCAGGAUUACCCGCUGAACUUAAGCAUAUCAAUAAGCGGAGGA